This is a non-coding RNA of Triticum aestivum (bread wheat), 125 nucleotides long. The record is from Rfam. Lineage: Eukaryota; Viridiplantae; Streptophyta; Magnoliopsida; Poales; Poaceae.
AUAAUACUCCCUCUGUCUGGAAUUACUUGUCGCACAAAUAAAUAAAAGUGGAUGUAUUUAGAACUAAAAUAUAUCUAGAUACAUUCAUUUCUCUAACAAAUAUUUCUGGACGGAGGGAGUAAUUA